GGACAUGAGUUUGAGCAAGCUCUGGGAGAUAGAGAAGGAUAGGGAAGCCUGGCGUACUGCAGUCAAUGGGAUCACAAAGAGUCAGACAUGACUGAGCAACAACAUUGAAUGUGUUACAAUAUUAUUUCUAUUUUAUGUUUUGUUUUUUAGGGGGCCAGGAGGCAUGUGGGAUCUUAGCUGUCCGCCCAGGAAUCAAAUAGGCAUCUUCUGCAUUGACAGGUAGAUUCUUUACCAGAGUGCCACGAGGGAAGUCCCUAAAAAAGCUGCUUUUAUCCACAGGCCAGUGAUGUUCCACUGACCUCUGGGCUUUAGACAGAGAAACUAGGAGAGAGGAAGAAAGUGAGAGCGCAAAGCAGAAAAAAGUAAAUAAAUAAGUUUCUGACCUUUCAUCUUAAGGUUUUCCCACAGCAGUGCUGCCUUCCUCACUUCUCGCCCACAAUCUCCACUUCAGGAGUAAAGAAAGCGCCCAGGAAAGUACGAGGAGGCUGAAUCUCGACCUUCCACAGUCAGAGAACAGUUAACUCCAGGCUUCUCAUCCUUACUGCAGCUUCAAAAUGCCGGCCUCUGAGAAUAUAUCCUGUCUAGCUGACUCAUUAGAGAAGAACCUGAUGCUGGGAAAGAUUGAAGGCCGGAGGAGAAGAGGACAACAGAGGAUGAGAUGGCUGGAUGGCAUCACGGACUCAGCGGACAAAGGUUUGAGCAAGCUCUGGGAGAUGGUGAAGGACAGGGAAGCCUGGUGUGCUGUAGUCCAUGAAGCUGCAAAGAGUCGGACACGACUGAGUGACUGAACAAGAUCAACAACCUGAAGAUCACUCACUUAAGUGAUUAAGUUUACUUGCUUCCUUGAGACCUAGGUAAUAGUGUUGUAGACUCAAGAGGCACCAGCCUCUCAUGUUGGAACCAAACAGGAAAAAAAAUCAGGUACAAUUAAGGAAUUGAAAAUGGCCUACAUGUUUCAGAAACUAAUUCAGUGGCUUCUACUUUGGUUUCUCCCAAGAGAAUAGGAAAGGAUGACUCCCCUACUUUGGGCUCCAUCCAUUUCUCAACAAGCUGCCCUACCAUCUCCACCUCCUCCUACUCUUACAUUUACAGUCACUCCGUUCUGCACCUUCUGAAGAGCAAAUGUGCCAGUGAUCACUCCUCACAAUAAUCCUAGGUGAGAACCUAGGAAACGAUCAAAGACAAGCUAUUGAAAAAAAGCAUUUGGCCCUUGUGCCUUGAGCGUAAAAGCAACUAGUCAAUAAAAGAAGGCACAGGUGGAAAGAAUGUGGAUUC
Molecule: long non-coding RNA, 1275 nt
Filed under: Bos indicus x Bos taurus (hybrid cattle)
Lineage: Eukaryota; Metazoa; Chordata; Mammalia; Artiodactyla; Bovidae
Description: lncRNA (ENSBIXG00005018599.1)
Source: RNAcentral